ACACUCACAAAGAGCCGAGGGGAGAGAGGGUGCGCAGACGGCCAGCCGGGCCGCGCCAGGGACAUACUGGAGACAGGAAGUGGCUGAGAGGGGGAGAGAGUUGGAGAGAGACGGCCGCGGAGGACACGGGGACGGGAAAGUCUGAGAGACGGGGAGAGCCUGACCCGGCGGGACACAGGCAGAAAGAAACACGCGAGCCAGACAGACGCAGAAGAAACGGUGGGCUGCCUGGUACUGGAUAGGAACUUCAUGGAAUGGAGCUAAUGGGCCGUAGGGCAGGUUUGAGUCGUGCCACCCUGGAGCAGAAGGUGGAGGGUAGGGAUAAGGGGGUGGAGCACCUGAUUCCAAUCUUGCCACAGGGAAGAAGAGUCUGUGAAGAAGGUGGAGAGAAACUAGGAGAAAAGCACAGGAUGUAGAGGUCUAUUCGGCAUAAUCUUCUCCCUCAUUUUCAUCUUCACCAUCAACAGAGAGAGCAGCAUACUUGCUUGCAGAACUGAACUUCUGUAACACAACGAGAGUGACAGGAUAAUGAAGGCCCUGAAUUAUCACAUCAAAACCCAAGACACAGGAUACUGAUCCUUUGGCAAUGGGGGAUGACAGUCAGAUGACACCCACUUGCUUGCUCAUCAGCAUUGUCCAUUGGAGAGGAGCUAGGGAAGAGGGUCAGAGGCACAUGCGAUCUUACUAUAGUCUCAUACCACCUCUACACCUUGCAGAAGGGAUGAGAACAAAGGAAGACAGAAACCAGGAAAAAGCUAAACUUCUUUCGCUAUUUCAGUAAAGACCAAUGUCUUAUUUCCAAACACUUUGUAUUCCAAAUGGAAAGAAGUCCAACGGCAAAAAGUUUAGAAUACUAAGAAUUUUUAAUUCUUAGUAAGAAUACUUAGAAUUCUAAGAAUUUUUCUUAGAAUGAAAAAUUGGGAGCAGCCUUCAACACUUACGGAAGCUGGAUUUUCCUCAGGUUUCUUUGGCUCAGGUGCAGAUCUGGAGUCUUGAUCCUUUUUGCCAUCUUUCCUGCAGAGACGUAAGCAUAAAACCAUGUCUUUAGGAAAGGACUCGCCUAAUACAAACAUGUGUAUGCAUGCAGUUUCAAGGCACUGAACAGGCACCUCUAGUCAACAGUCCUUGUUGUCUGGAUGAUGUAUUACUUCUAGAUUUUCAGAAUCUUAACUGUCUACGUUGGCUGACUUUAGUUUGCUCACAAUGAGCGAUCUGGCAGUGCUCUGAGAACCAAGAACUUAAUUUCUUAAUUACACAAACAUGUGGAUCAGAGGAAAGAUGAGAAAGAGAACAAGCAUACCUAUCUGACUCCUUCCAGUGGUCUCUGUUCCCUCCGUCGCCUGGACCACGGCUAGAGUUCCCAGUUUGGCCUUUUGGGGCAUUCAUCCCAUCUACUUUAUUUUCAUCUGCUUGGGCAGUAAUGUAAACAAAUUAAAGGCAAGUAAAAGUAUCAAUGUCCCUCUCCUAAGAUUUCCCUUAAGCUGAAGAAAAUUGUGCCCACAUGUACUGAGGGAAACUAACCUCACCCCAACCCAGACUUCCUUCCUGAAGCCCUUCUUUCCACAUCCUCUACAGCACACAAAAAUACAAAAAACAAACAAAAUCCACUAAAAAGUUCCAUGUAGGGAUAUGCCAUCAUGAAAAGCAAGCUGGAAAUAAAGAUUAUGACGCUCUGUA
Molecule: long non-coding RNA, 1677 nt
Organism: Homo sapiens (human)
Lineage: Eukaryota; Metazoa; Chordata; Mammalia; Primates; Hominidae
Gene: TNS2-AS1
Product: TNS2 antisense RNA 1
Source: Ensembl